AGGUCACCUCUCUCCUGACAUUCACGAGGAACAUAAGAUCUAUCAGAAUGGCAUGUUCUGAAAAAUGGAGCUUAAAGAAGGAAAAGAAAAUUACACCAUGAAAGGGGAACUUCAAGUUCAAUCUACAAGUAUCCUGCUUUCCUGCAAAUGCAAUAGCCAGAGAAGUCCAUUGUCCUGCUCUCCCCACAAGAGACAGAAGUCCAGGAGAGGGAUUACUAAGAACAUCCCUUCGGGAUCCACCUAUAACUCAGGCCAUGGCUUUGCCUCCCUGGUCUGUUCACAAGGAUGAAUAAAUGUGGCAAGUCA
Molecule: long non-coding RNA, 306 nt
Filed under: Rattus norvegicus (Norway rat)
Lineage: Eukaryota; Metazoa; Chordata; Mammalia; Rodentia; Muridae
Description: long non-coding RNA NONRATT009980
Source: RNAcentral